RNAcentral lists this ribosomal RNA (515 nucleotides) under Stoliczia bella. Its description in RNAcentral is "partial 16S ribosomal RNA". It matches the Rfam family "Bacterial large subunit ribosomal RNA", at positions 1832 to 2594 of the family's 2925-position model. Lineage: Eukaryota; Metazoa; Arthropoda; Malacostraca; Decapoda; Potamidae. The record is from RNAcentral.
UUUAUUUGGAGUUAUAAAUAAUUUAACCUGCCCCCUGAUUCUUAAAGGAUUAAAGGGCCGCAGUAUUGUAACUGUGCAAAGGUAGCAUAAUCAUUAGGUUUUUAAUUGAAAUCUCGUAUGAAUGGUUGGACAAAAGAAAAACUCUCUUUAUAUUAAUUUUAAAUUUAACUUUUAAGUGAAAAGGCUUAAAUAUUCUAAAGGGACGAUAAGACCCUAUAAAACUUUACAUUGUAAUUAUAUUAUAAGUUGAAUUUUUAAUAAGAAUUUUAAUAAAUUAUUUGUUGUGUUGGGGAGACAUAAGUAAAAGUAAUUUUAACUACUUAAUAAUUUAUAACAAUUAUAAAUGAAUUAUAAAAGAUCCUUGAUUAAGAUUGGAAGUUUAAGUUACUUUAGGGAUAACAGCGUAAUUUUUUUUGAGAGUUCAUAUCGAAAAAAGAGAUUGCGACCUCGAUGUUGAAUUAAGAUAUCUAUAUAUUGUAGAAAGUAUAUAAGAAGGUCUGUUCGACCUUUAAAUU